RNAcentral lists this small nucleolar RNA (150 nucleotides) under Physeter macrocephalus (sperm whale). Lineage: Eukaryota; Metazoa; Chordata; Mammalia; Artiodactyla; Physeteridae. The record is from RNAcentral.
UCUGCACAUGGUUAGAGCUUGGAGCUGAGGCCACUGGCCGAUGAACUCACAAGUGUAGGUAGUGUGCUACAUGAGGGGCAAGUUUUUCGCUAACAUCACAAGGCUCUCUGGCCCAAUGAGUGGAGUUUGAUAGUAAUUCUUGCUACAAAU